Molecule: ribosomal RNA, 207 nt
Filed under: uncultured bacterium
Lineage: Bacteria
Description: partial 16S ribosomal RNA
Rfam family: Bacterial small subunit ribosomal RNA
Source: RNAcentral
CUCGUAGGCGGGGGCGUGCGUCCGAGAAGAAAUCUCAAGGCUCAACCUUGGGGCUAUCUCGGAUACGGCGCUUCUUGAGGGUGAGAGAGGAAAGUAGAAUUCCCGGUGUAGCGGUGAAAUGCGUAGAUAUCGGGAGGAAUACCAGCGGCGAAGGCGACUUUCUGGCUCAUUCCUGACGCUGAGGAGCGAAAGCGUGGGUAGCGAACG